CGCGUCAUCAGCGUUUCUGUGGGCGACGAUCGGAUCAGAAACGCGCGCGGCGGGGGAGGGCGGUGCGGGACGAGGCCCGCAGCUCUUACUGGACGCCCGCCGUCAAAUCACAGCCUGGAUUACCAUGUAUCCACGCGGCGCCAGAGGCCCAAACAACAUCGCGCUUCGCCUCGCGCUUGGCCGCUGCAGCACCACGGAGGCCAAAAGUGGAGGACAGCGAGUACAAAAGAGGCAACCGGAGACAAGGUGUCGAGGGGUCGAUGCCUCUGUAUGCGAACUGGUGCUGUGGAAGGUGGGCAGGUGUUGACGGGUGGUCUUCAGAUACAGGGAUGAGACUCGUGUUCAUGACACGCCUGUACAGAUUUAAAAGUUUUAUAUUUACCCCGUGUUUAUUGCUGUAGUGCCGGAGCACAGCUAGCAUACACAAAUAUACUUAGCAGCGCUUCUCUCCCCGCGGACACAUAUUGAGCAGAACCAAAACAAGUGGUGGUGCUGGUGAAAGCCCCGAGGCAGCGCCAGACAAACAAGGAGAGCGGCGUCUGCGGCAUACUGAGCGGGCCUUGGGCCUGGGCCCGGGCUCGCGUCUAAUUAUUAACAAUAAAUAUCUGAGGCGGUGUGAUGUGGUGGACGGC
RNAcentral lists this long non-coding RNA (632 nucleotides) under Betta splendens (Siamese fighting fish). Its description in RNAcentral is "lncRNA (ENSBSLG00000019358.1)". The record is from RNAcentral. Lineage: Eukaryota; Metazoa; Chordata; Actinopteri; Anabantiformes; Osphronemidae.